RNAcentral lists this ribosomal RNA (2819 nucleotides) under Calothrix sp. PCC 7716. Its description in RNAcentral is "23S ribosomal RNA". It matches the Rfam family "Bacterial large subunit ribosomal RNA". The record is from RNAcentral. Lineage: Bacteria; Bacillati; Cyanobacteriota; Cyanophyceae; Nostocales; Calotrichaceae.
UCAAGCGAAUAAGGGCUGACGGUGGAUACCUAGGCACGCAGCGGCGAAGAAGGACGUGGUUACCGACGAUAUGCUCCGGGGAGUUGGAAGCAAACAUUGAGCCGGAGAUUUCCGAAUGGGGCAACCCUAUAUACUACUUGUUGAACACAUAGACAAGUGAGAGCCAACCCAGCGAAUUGAAACAUCUUAGUAGCUGGAGGAAAAGAAAUCAAACGAGAUUCCCUUAGUAGUGGUGAGCGAAGGGGGAAGAGCCUAAACCAAAAUACAUGUAUUUUGGGGUAGUGGGACAGCGACAUGGAAUCGAGCGAUUAGACGAAGCAUUUAAUCGAUGCACCAAAGAAAGUAAAAGUCUUGUAGUCGAAAAUUUAACGAUACUAGCUGAAUCCCGAGUAGCAUGGAGCACGUGAAAUUCCAUGUGAAUCAGCCACGACCACGUGGUAAGGCUAAAUACGUCUGCGUGAGCGAUAGCGAACAAGUACCGCGAGGGAAAGGUGAAAAGAACCCCGUUGAGGGGAGUGAAAUAGAACAUGAAACCGUCAGCUUACAAGCAGUGGGAGUUCGAUUAAACGAAUGACCGCGUGCCUGUUGAAGAAUGAGCCGGCGAGUUAUAUGUGCUGGUAGGUUAAGUAGUAGUUACGAAGCCAAAGCGAAAGCGAGUCUGAAUAGGGCGAUUAUCAGUAUGUAUAGACCCGAACCCUGGCGAUCUAACCAUGUCCAGGAUGAAGCUUGGGUAACACCAAGUGAAGGUCCGAACCGACUAAUGUUGAAAAAUUAGCGGAUGAGGUGUGGUUAGGGGUGAAAUGCCAAUCGAGCCAGGAGCUAGCUGGUUCUCCCCGAAAUGUGUUUAGGCGCAGCGGUGAAUAUUAAGCUUUGGGGGUAAAGCACUGUUUCGGUGCGGGCUGGGAGACCGGUACCAAAUCGAGACAAACUCAGAAUACCAAAGUGUACUAUCACUAGUAAGACGGUGAGGGAUAAGCUUCAUCGUCAAGAGGGAAACAGCCCAGACCACCAGCUAAGGUCCCCAAAUCAAUGUUAAGUGGGAAAGGAGGUGCAAGUGCAAAGACAACCAGGAGGUUUGCCUAGAAGCAGCCACCCUAGAAUGAGUGCGUAAUAGCUCACUGGUCAAGCGCUUGCGCGCCGAAAAUGAACGGGACUAAACAUUGUACCGAAGCUGUGGACUUGAAAAAGUGGUAGGGGAGCGUUCUAUUUGAUGCGAAGCAGUAGCGGCGAGCAGCUGUGGAUUGAAUAGAAGUGAGAAUGUCGGCUUGAGUAGCGCAAAUAUUGGUGAGAAUCCAAUACCCCGAAACCCCAAGGGUUCCAGAGGCAGGUUCGUCCACUCUGGGUAAGUCGGGACCUAAGGCGAGGGCGAAAGCCGUAGUCGAUGGACAUGAGGUUAAUAUUCCUCAACUAGAAUUGUGGAGCAUUAUUUGGGACGCACCGUUGAAGCAACUAUGCCCUGAUUGGAUUGGGAGGGGAAUACGUUCUCCGUUUAGUUGUGAUUGGUGUCAAGAAAAGCAAUUAAUGUGUUGAAGCAGUUAUACCCGUACUCGAAACCGACACAGGUGGGGAGGUAGAGAAUACCAAGGGGCGCGAGAUAACUCUCUCUAAGGAACUCGGCAAAAUAGCCCCGUAACUUCGGAAGAAGGGGUGCCCAGUGAAAACUGGGUCGCAGUGAAUAGGUCCAGGCGACUGUUUACCAAAAACACAGGUCUCUGCAAACGAGUAAUCGGAAGUAUAGGGGCUGACGCCUGCCCAGUGCCGGAAGGUUAAGGAAGUUGGUCAGGGGGAAACUUUAAAGCUGACGACCGAAGCCCCGGUGAACGGCGGCCGUAACUAUAACGGUCCUAAGGUAGCGAAAUUCCUUGUCGGGUAAGUUCCGACCCGCACGAAAGGCGUAACGAUCUGGACGGUGUCUCGGAGAGAGACUCGGCGAAAUAGGAUUGUCUGUGAAGAUACGGACUGCCUGCACCUGGACAGAAAGACCCUAUGAAGCUUUACUGUAGCCUGGAAUUGUGUUCGGGCUUGGCUUGCGCAGGAUAGGUGGGAAGCGUAGAGACAUUCCUUGUGGGGAAUGUGGAGCUAACGGUGAGAUACCACUCUGGCGAAGCUAGAAUUCUAACCAAUAUCCGUAAUCCGGAAUUGGAACAUUUUCAGGUGGGCAGUUUGACUGGGGCGGUCGCCUCCUAAAAGGUAACGGAGGCGCGCAAUGGUUCUCUCAGCACGGUUGGAAAUCGUGCGUCGAGUGUAAAGGCAAUAAGAGAGCUUGACUGUGAUACCAACAAGUAGAACAGGUACGAAAGUAGGCCUUAGUGAUCCGACGGCGCAGAGUGGAAUGGCCGUCGCUCAACGGAUAAAAGUUACUCUAGGGAUAACAGGCUGAUCUCCCCCAAGAGUCCACAUCGACGGGGAGGUUUGGCACCUCGAUGUCGGCUCAUCGCAACCUGGGGCGGAAGUACGUCCCAAGGGUUGGGCUGUUCGCCCAUUAAAGCGGUACGUGAGCUGGGUUCAGAACGUCGUGAGACAGUUCGGUCCAUAUCCGGUGCAGGCGUAAGAACAUUGAGAGGAGCCUUCCUUAGUACGAGAGGACCGGGAAGGACGAACCGCUGGUGUGCCAGUUAUUCCGCCAGGAGUAAACGCUGGGUAGCCAUGUUCGGAGCGGAUAACCGCUGAAAGCAUCUAAGUGGGAAGCCCACCUCAAGAUGAGUGUUCUCAUCACUAUAAGUGAGUAAGGUCACACGUAGAACACGUGUUAAUAGGCUUUAGGUGGAAGCGUGGUAACAUGCGAAGCCGAGAAGUACUAACAGACCGAGGGCUUGACC